AGUGAACGCUGGCGGCAGGCCUAACACAUGCAAGUCGAACGGCAGCACAGGAGAGCUUGCUCUCUGGGUGGCGAGUGGCGGACGGGUGAGGACUAUAUCGGAAUCUACCCUUUCGUGGGGGAUAACGUAGGGAAACUUACGCUAAUACCGCAUACGAACUGAGGUUGAAAGCGGCGGACCGCAAGGCGUCGCGCGGAUGGAUGAGCCGAUAUCCGAUUAGCUAGUUGGCGGGGUAAAGGCCCACCAAGGCGACGAUCGGUAGCUGGUCUGAGAGGAUGAUCAGCCACACUGGAACUGAGACACGGUCCAGACUCCUACGGGAGGCAGCAGUGGGGAAUAUUGGACAAUGGGCGCAAGCCUGAUCCAGCCAUGCCGCGUGUGUGAAGAAGGCCUUCGGGUUGUAAAGCACUUUCGUUGGGAAAGAAAAGCGGUCGGUUAAUACCCGGUCGUUCUGACGGUACCCAAAGAAUAAGCACCGGCUAACUUCGUGCCAGCCGCCGCCGAAA
Molecule: ribosomal RNA, 506 nt
Filed under: uncultured bacterium
Lineage: Bacteria
Description: partial 16S ribosomal RNA
Rfam family: Bacterial small subunit ribosomal RNA
Source: RNAcentral